This 1042-nucleotide long non-coding RNA is filed under the name Capsicum annuum. RNAcentral's name for it is "long non-coding RNA (CANN_LNC010818)". Lineage: Eukaryota; Viridiplantae; Streptophyta; Magnoliopsida; Solanales; Solanaceae. The record is from RNAcentral.
UUAAGUGAUGGGAAUGAAGGGAAUCGAGUUCAGCUGAGGAAAGUAAAAUCAGGCGCGAAUAAGGUAGAAAAUGAGGAUGUUGUUGAUGUUCUUGAUGAGUCGAAGAAGAAUCUUGAAGGGGUGUUCAGUGAGUCAAGUGAUGGAAAUGAGGGGAAUCAAAUUCAGCUGAGGAAAGUAAAACCCGAGGCGAGUAAGGCAGAGAAUGAGAAUGGAACCGAUGGAAAUGAAGGGGAUCGAACUCAGCUGAGGAAAGUGAAAUCAGAAGCGAAUAAGGCAGCAAAUGAAGGGAACCGAAUUCAGCUGAGGAAAGUGAAAUCGGAGGCAAAUAAAGCAGAAAAUGAGGAUGGAAGUGACGGAAAUGAGAGAAAUCGAAUUCAGCUGAAAAAAGUGAAAUCAGGCGAGAAUCAGGCCGAAAAUGAGGAUGAAAGUGAUGGAAAUGACGGGAAUGGCAUUCACCUGCGGAAAGUGAAAUCAGGCGCGAAUAAGUUAGAAAAUGAGGACGGAACCGAUGGAAAUGAGGGGGAUCGAGUUCACCUGAGGAAAGUGAAAUCAGGCGCGAAUAAGGCAGAAAACGAGGAUGAUGGAAAUGAGGGGGAUCGAGUUCACCUGAGGAAAGUGAAAUCAGGCGCGAAUAAGGCAGAAAACGAGGAUGAUGGAAAAGAGGGGAAUCGCGUUCACCUGAGGAAAGUGAAAUCAGGCGUGAAUAAGUUAGAGAAUGAGGAUGAUGGAAAAGAAGGGAAUCGUGUUCACCUGAGGAAAGUGAAAUCAGGCGCGAAUAAGGCAGAAAACGAGGAUGAUGGAAAUGAGGGGGAUCGAGUUCACCUGAGGAAAGUGAAAUCAGGCGCGAAUAAGGCAGAAAACGAGGAUGAUGGAAAUGAGGGGAAUCGAGUUCACCUGAGGAAAGUGAAAUCAGGUGCGAAUAAGUUAGAAAAUGAGGAUGAUGGAAAAGAGGGGAAUCGCGUUCAGCCAAGGAAAGUGAAAUCAGGCGCGAAUAAGGCGGCAAAUGAGGAUGGAAAUGUGCUAGUGAAAACAAAAUCAGAGA